GAUCAUGGCUCAGGAUGAACGCUGGCGGCGUGCUUAACACAUGCAAGUCGAACGAGGAUUUAACGGAAUGCGAUUCGUCAAAUGAAAUUAAAUCCGAGUGGCGGACGGGUGAGUAACGCGUGGAUAACCUGCCUCACACAGGGGGACAACAGCCGGAAACGGCUGCUAAUACCGCAUAACACAAGCAAUUCGCAUGAAUAGCUUGUCAAAGAUUUUAUCGGUGUGAGAUGGAUCCG
RNAcentral lists this ribosomal RNA (236 nucleotides) under uncultured bacterium. RNAcentral describes it as "partial 16S ribosomal RNA". It matches the Rfam family "Bacterial small subunit ribosomal RNA", at positions 15 to 233 of the family's 1533-position model. The record is from RNAcentral.